Molecule: ribosomal RNA, 243 nt
Filed under: uncultured bacterium
Lineage: Bacteria
Description: partial 16S ribosomal RNA
Rfam family: Bacterial small subunit ribosomal RNA
Source: RNAcentral
AUACGAAGGGGGCUAGCGUUGUUCGGAAUUACUGGGCGUAAAGCGCAUGUAGGCGGACAUUUAAGUCAGGGGUGAAGCGGCCGGCACACCGGAACUGCCUUUGAUACUGGGUGUCUAGAGUGUGGAAGAGGUAAGUGGAAUUCCGAGUGUAGAGGUGAAAUUCGUAGAUAUUCGGAGGAACACCAGUGGCGAAGGCGGCUUACUGGUCCAUUACUGACGCUGAGGUGCGAAAGCGUGGGGAGC